This 500-nucleotide long non-coding RNA is filed under the name Citrus maxima (pomelo). Its description in RNAcentral is "long non-coding RNA (CMAX_LNC000979)". The record is from RNAcentral. Lineage: Eukaryota; Viridiplantae; Streptophyta; Magnoliopsida; Sapindales; Rutaceae.
CAAUUAAUACCAUGUUUCAUGAAGGAAGCAGGAAGCAGCCACGGUCGGACGCUGCCAGUUUUAUUUAUUAAUAAUCUGAACACACCAUACAAUUACAAACUGCAAACAACGCAUGCAGUACUAGUUCCAAAGCACACUACUAAUUAACAUCGUGAUCAUCUCUCACACAAUAGACAUACUCAGAUCACAUAUAUAUAUACCAAAUUGAAAGCAACCCAACUAACAACCUGAGGGUCUCAAGUUUCUUUAUUAAACAAACAGCAACCAAGGUAAUAUGUUUUUAGAAAAAGGAUAUGCCGUUUUUGAUUUUUUACUAUGUGUUAUUUAUCCCUUGGUAAUAUGGUCAGCAACAUCUUUAGUAAUGCUGACCAUAAAAUCAACAUAUGCAACUGGGUCCGGAACAUUGGCGUUUAACUUCUCAUAUGCAAUGCUACAAGUUGCGAUGCUGCCAGCACUGCCAUCCCCUUUUGGAGAAACUUUAUAAACCGGGAGCCAGCUUU